CAGUGGCAAAAUGGUGACUUCCUUUCUCUAAGUCUCCUCCCUGUGUCUCCAUUUAUGUAAGGCCCAGGAAGAGGGGGAAACCAAACCUGGGUCAUGCCUCAUUGAUGGAAUCCCAUCAAAAUGAACUGAUCAAGUGAGCUAUUCAGGGUGAGAACCAAGUCAAAGGCAAUGAAAAGGUCUCACCACCUUUUGAAUUAAAAAACAUAAAUUUUGGGGGGGAGUCCAAAUUCAAACUGUCACAUCUGGAUAUUACUCUCUCACUAAAUAGGUUUAUAAAAAACUAAAGAGAGCAUAUGUAGGGAAAAUAAGCCAAUAGAAAGAAAACUCCUACAUUCACGGGCUUGCUCAGCACACUAUGAUUUCUAAUGAACAGCUCUUGGAAACAAUGCAGUGUCCAGGACUAGAAGUCUCUCUGUUUGACAGGUGGACUUCCACACAGCCCCAUGUUUUAAGUGGCAUCUUACUGCACACAGGGCGAUGGUCCUUAGUCCAGGGCGUCCCUGAAUCCACACCUCUGGAAAGUAAGCCCCAGUCUUCUGCAGUGGGCAGGAGCUACGGGCUGCGGACCAUUCUGUCCAGACUCCCCCUCUCCUGACCUGCCUUUCUCCCCGCCUGUUCCACCACAGGGUCCCUGAUGUCUGCGGUGCCAAGCGCUGCAGGGAUCAGAGCAUAAGUGAGCGGGCCUGUCCUUCUGCCGCUGCUGCCUCAGGCAGCCGGUCGACUGCAGCUCGUGGAACGGUUCCGCCGGGGGAGAGGGCGUUCCUCACGCUGUCAGCAUGGAUACGGGUUGUCGGGGCGACCUCUCUUGCCUCGCUCCGGGAACCGCGUGGGGCACAAUCAGCUGGGGCGAGAGGACCGCGCUACGACUCACACGACACAGCCAGAAGAACAGGAGACUUAUUGANNNNNNNNNNNNNNNNNNNNNNNNNNNNNNNNNNNNNNNNNNNNNNNNNNACCUCUCUUGCCUCGCUCCGGGAACCGCCGUUGGGGCCACAAAUCAGCUGGGGCGAAGAGGACCGCGCUACGAACUCACACGAACACCAGCCAGAAGAAACAGGAGACUUUAUUGAGAGAGCCAGCACAUGUGGGCUCAUGCACAAUCUGCAGAUGGUUCAGGGAAGAGGAGGGGAAGGGGGCAUAUAUAGGGAUAUGGUAAUUUAGGGGAGGCACAUGCGCCUUGGCCUUGCGCAAUGACUCAGCACUCCUGACUCACCAUGACUCAGCACCUACAACUUAGCACUGUGAUGGCACCCAGGCCCACAACACGGCCUAUGCUCCCUACAUCUCACCCCUUUCUGUAAAAUAAGGUAGCCGUAUGCACAUGGCCAUAAACUUGCGGUGACCUUGUCCGUCUUAGGUUGCCUUCCUCUGAAGGUCUUACCCGCCAGUGGCUGCUGGCCAAGCUCAAGCAAGUGUAAGGGUGCAAGUGGCUGUACCUGGCUUAGGUUGCCUCCCUCUGGAGAUCUUACCCGUUGUUGGCUACCAGCCCACCAGCCAUGCCUUUUGGGGAGAGUAAGGGAGAGGGCAGUCGCAGUAACAGUGCGAGUCAAUUGUCAGCGGUCACUGAGUCAUGCAGGCUGGCUUGCUGAGGUAGGUGGCACAUAGGUGUUGGAGGCUAGGCAAGAGUCAGGGGGUGGCCAGAGCAUAGGAAGGAAAGGGAAUGGGACAUUUUGAGUUCUUUGGAGCAAGGCUGUGUACGAUGUUGUUGAAGCAGCAUAUGCUCGGUGCGGCUACACAGCGGUGGUAGCAGUGGCGGCUUCUUCUCUCGUGGGGAGACGCUGGUAGCCAAGGGGGUGCACACGAAAGACGGUGACUGCUGAAAUAUACUCCAUUCUUCUUUGCAGCCAUCACAGGAGACGGGGCUAAACUGAAAAAGACAAUUAAAAGAACAAGAGGGCCAAGGAGCGGGGCAAUUCAGGCUGCGAGUGGGGAGGUAAACCAACUGAGAAAGGAGGGAGGGACUAGGGAGUUUUUGGACAGUGAUUCAUGUAAAUGUUUUAACUUAUUUAUGUUUUGCUCUAUAACCCCUGACUCAUUAACAAAAUAACAGCACUCUUCCUGGAGGAAGAGACAGGUGCCUCCUUUCUCCACAGUAAGGAGAUCUAAUGCCCUUCUAUUUUGUAAUACAACCUGAGCGAGAGAGGAGAUUUGCCUUUGUAGGGACUCCAGGGAUGCAGUAGUGGAGUCCAAGAUGAUCUAUCUGUAGCUCCUCUUGGAAUUGCGCCGCAGUGGCGAUUCCAUGACCGAGGGCGCCGCCGGCGGUGGCAAUGGCAGCAACCGUGGUUGUGAAAGAAAUUCCCACUAACACGGGGAGAAAGGUGGCUCUGUUUGGUCUAGGUGAAAGCAACUGAAUAAUUUCCCCUUCAGAAUACAGUGUAAGCUGGGGAGUGAGGGUGACUAGGACACAUGGUUCAGGGACAGUGUCAUUAAGGCAGGUGAAUAGGGACUGAUUGCACCACAGGUAAAAACCAGUGGGUACAGAAAGUUUGGAGGGAGUGUUUGAUUGGUAGUACAAGAAGCUGUUUUGAUAAAACAGACUCUUUGUAUACUGAUUAUCAGGAUAGAAAUUUUCCAUAAACUUUCACCAGAACAAACAAAUGAUUUGAGAGUCUUUGAAAAAGGACAAAAUUUUUAACUUUGAUACAUACUACUUGAUACUAAGGCUUUUUCAAACUUUAUAGACAGACCCGUCAAAUCUUACUUAACUUUAACCAUAAAAAUUUCUUUCCACAAACCUUCUACACUUUCAGCAUUCAUCCAGGCCUUGUUCCACAUUUUACUCUUUCUCAACAACCAAUCAUCCUAUCUUAGGACAAAAUCAUCUCCUGUUUCCAUAGCAACAAAAAUGCAUUCCAUACAUCCCCCAUAUCGAGCCACCAGGCAAACCUCCCACAACAUACAAUUGCCACCAACACCAAACGAGUCUGUCAAAACAAUGAACCUUUCUUCACCCUAAAUACCCAGUAGCAUGCAAUACUAGAAACAGUCCCCUAGAAGCCAGUUUGCAGGGAAGACUAGCCACCAACAAGUUUUCCUGCCAUAAAAUUACCUUUUAUUAUUAUCAUCAUCAAUUCAGUUUUAUAUAUAUUUAAUAAUGACCUUUUGGAAUUAGCUGUUUAAAUACCUUAAUUUAAACAAUGUUUCAUUAAACUUCUUAUAAUUAUUUAUAACCAUAUAGAUUAUUUAUAACCAUAUAGACUAUAAUUAUAUUAUUUUAAGACAAAUUUUAUCUUCACAGAACACAUUCCGUUACUGAAAGUUACCACAAUACCUUCUACAACUUGCCACAUGCAAAUUAAGUUCCAAGAGUUUAUGAAAAAUAAGCCAUCCUAUUUUAGGACAAAACACACCUUUUAGAAAAAACUUAUUAAAUUUCAGUCAGCAUUCCCACAAACUUUCAACCUUCUUCAAUAUUCAUUUAAGUUUUACAUCCUUCAUUUUAUUCUGUGAAGAAAAAUAAACUAUUCUUGUCAAUCUAGGCAAGAAUAACUUUUUAUGAAGACUUAUAGUUAAUUUUGUUAAUAAGACUUACAAUUUUUAUCAUUGUAGAUAUCUUAUUAACAUUUAAAAACUUAUGUAUUAAUAUAAUAAACUUAAGUAUUAAUAUAAGUGCUUAUUUAAUUUUUGGCCAUUUGAAUAGAGCUCUUUUUAAGAUUUUUAUUAAUUUAUAUUUACCAUCUGGAGGUAUCACAAUAUACACUGACAUUGAACGAACAGACAAACACAAAACAAUUACAACACAUUACAGAAACAUACAGUUUAUUUACAAUCGACUCAUAAUUCUUACUUUCUUGGUAUAGCUGCUUUUAAAUUUUUUGUUAUAUAUCACAUCUUAGAUUGUACUUUUUAAGAUUUCUUCUGGAAUCCAUGUUGCCUGUAAUAUGCAAGCUUGUGCUAGGAAACAUUAUCAGUUUAUCAUUUUAUCAGUUAAGAUAACUUGAGCAGCAUAAAUGUAGUUAAGUUCUUAUUUUGCAGUUUAGGCAGACCUGUUAACACACAUUUUUGUAUUAUUAUUCUGUAAGAUUAUACUGAGAUUUGAAGUUCCGGAGAAAACUAUUGAUUUAAAACUGAAAAUUCCUUUUAGACCUUGAUAAAAAUUUUGUGCUACUUUUAUUAUCUUGGUUAAAUAAGCCCAAUCAGAGUUAGCACGGAAAUAAAACAAAACACAAAUGUUGCUACGUUUUUCUCUUUUUCCAGUGUCUUAACUAUAUUAACCCUCAGUAGCCCACAGCUACAUUGUCAUGUAGACAGCAGGGUGAAGGUGAUUCAUUGAAGUGUAGGGAGGAGAGCCUUAAGGAUUUGAAUUUGGGGGGCAGAGGUGGAAGUAGAAAGAUUGCCCAUAAUGGGGCAGGGGUAACUCACGCAAACACGGGCGCUACGACGUCCGUCAGGCAGCGGGGUCCCUGUCCGUUGGUCCCUGUUUGGGCACCAGAUGAAGGCGGCCGGUCGGCUGCAGCUCGUGGACCGGUUCCACCGGGGGAGAGGGCGUUCCUCACACUGCCAGCGUGAGAUGCGGGUUGUCGGGGCGACCUCUCUUGCCUCGCUCCGGAACGGCCUCUGGGACCGCAAGCCAGCUGGGGUGAAGAGGGCCGCGCUACGAACUCACAGGAACACCAGCCAGAAGAAACGGGAGACUUUAUUAGGAGGGCCAGCGCAUGUGGGCUCAUGCGCAACCUGCAGACGCUUCAGGGAAGAGGAGGGGAAGGGGCGAUAUAUAGAGAGAUGGUAAUUUAGGGGAGGCGCAUGCGCCUUGGCCUUGCCCCAUGACUCAGCACUCCUGACUCACCAUGACUCAGCACCUAUGACUUGCACUGUGAUGGCACCCAGGCCCACAACAUGGCCUAUGCUCCCUACACCCAUAUACCAUUUUCCUUAUUCCUUUGCCCUCAUAUUUGAAUCUAGUUAAGGGAAGAACUGUGGUUCAGGUGACUGAGCUCCUGCCUACCUCAUGGGAUGUCUGUGAUUUGAUUCCCAAUGCAACCUAAAGAAGACAACGAGCGGGUAUGAUGGGCAGGGGCAGUGACCUGAUGCAACAAGACGACACACAAGACCAAGAAGAAAAAACAUAAUGAGACACACAACAGGGCAGGGCACGCAGGGGCUUAAGUGAUUACGCAUCUCCCUCCCAUAUCAGCGGUCCUGGGUUCAGUUCCUGGUGCCUCCUAAAAACAACAUACGGCAAGUGCAAACAAUGAGGGGUGGGGAAAAUAAAUCUUUACAAACAUAAAUAAAAAUUAAAUUUGCUUAACUUUUAAGAUCUUUCUUUUGAAAGUAACAUUGAAUUUUUGUCAAACCAAGUGUACUUUCAAGGAAUGAAUAGAACCAGCCUUAACUAAACUUAAUGAUUUUUCCACAUGCAGUAGAAGUAUAUCUUGUUUUUCUCAAACAUGGUUGUGCCCCACAUAUACACUAGAAGAAAAGUAAACCUUCAAAACUAAAAGUAAACCUUCAGCC
Molecule: long non-coding RNA, 5454 nt
Filed under: Dasypus novemcinctus (nine-banded armadillo)
Lineage: Eukaryota; Metazoa; Chordata; Mammalia; Cingulata; Dasypodidae
Description: lncRNA (ENSDNOG00000051034.1)
Source: RNAcentral